Triticum dicoccoides is the source of this 663-nucleotide long non-coding RNA. RefSeq lists it as uncharacterized. Lineage: Eukaryota; Viridiplantae; Streptophyta; Magnoliopsida; Poales; Poaceae. The record is from RefSeq and is a predicted model, not a curated record. The transcript is spliced from 3 exons.
AAACAUCCGCGGCCGCUCGCUCCUUCCUUCCUCACCCUAGCCCCAAUCCACGCUCCUUCCUUCCUCACCCGCCGCCGCUCCCUCCCACCUCCUCCUCCUCCUUCUGCGCCCUAGGAGCCCCGCCGCCGCCCUGCUGCUACUCCUCCACCGGCCCGCCCUGCUGCGUCGCGAGCCCCUCCCUCCUCUUCGCGUUCCGGUGGUCGAUAGUCGGGGUCAACGAGGAGAUGCACGCGGCGGCGGCCAUGGACGACUCCAUGAGCGGGACCACCGCCGUCGCGGCGCCUGCGACCGGCGGCGGACUCCACGGGGCUCGGGAUGUCCGCGGCGGUGCGGGCUGUGGACCGAGAGGCGGGGCCCUUGAUGCGUUCCGUUCGAGGGGCUGGUCGGGCUGGCGUGGGAUCUGAGCCACCGUUGAUGGAUUUCUCGCAGCUUGGCUCCUGUUGAUUUGGAUCCGGGUGCUGGACAACCUGAAGGACUACGCGGUGAGGGCCGUUGUCAACGCCGUCGACCACCUGGGCACGGUGGCCUACAAGCUGACGGACCUGUUCGAGCAGCAGGCUUCCGAGAUCUCGACCUUCGAGCUCAAGGUUGCGCGCUUCGAGAUCAACGAUUUGCUUAAGAUCACGGAAGCUUGGGUUGAUGGAGUGCUUGUAUCUAGUUUUU